Long non-coding RNA from Acinonyx jubatus (cheetah), 1089 nucleotides. RefSeq lists it as uncharacterized. The record is from RefSeq and is a predicted model, not a curated record. The transcript has 2 exons. NCBI's taxonomy places the organism in Eukaryota, Metazoa, Chordata, Mammalia, Carnivora, Felidae.
GUCUCCUGGGGCUCUUCUCUCACUUACCCAGCUGCAGGCAUAACACACUUUCUGUGCACUCGCUUUGAACCUCCCUGAACUCCCAUGCGUGAUGGCAUCGGUUGGAAGAUAAAAUUGUGAGAAUUUCAAGAUGGUGACAACAGAGCUUUAAACCAAGGGCAGGUCCUUCUGAGCACAGAGCCCUGGGUGACUGCACAGUUUAUAGGACUCCUAUUCUUCAAGGAUUUUCUUAAGACUCCCCUCCCCACUCUUUACCCCCAAGGUCUUGAAGCCCCAGCAGAGCUCCAGUGAUAUCUUUGUUGCCAUUAAGUGCGUAUUUCUCUGCAUAACUUGGAGUUCCUCCAGAUUCUGGUAAUGCUGAAGGCAUGUGUGGUUUAUUUUCACUCCUUGAUGAUCUUGUUUUGGGGAGGUCGUAUGGAGAGUUUUAAACUCAAGUGGCUGCUCUUAUAGUACAGAUUAGGACGUGUGUGCGUUUGAUGCUAUUGUGAAAAUUUUCUCUUUCCACAACAAAGGACUGUUUAAUCAAAACCAUUAUUAUUAUUAUUUUUGGACUGGGUGACACAUUCAGAAAGAUCAAACAUAAAAGGUUAAAGGUAUAUUCAAAAUUUGAUUUUCUAAUUAUUUACUGUGGUUACGUAGAAAUAAUAAUUGCUUUUUAAAAACCUAUCUAUGUACCUCCAGACCUUGUUAAAUCCACUUACUAGCUCUUAAUACCUCAUCUGCAGUUUUGUUUUGUUUUGGCAUUUUACAUAAACCAAUUACGUACUCAGAGAAUGAUGACCGUUUUCCUUCUUUCUUUCCAAUUCUAUCCUUUCUCCAUUUUUCUUGAUUUACUGCUGUUAGGCCCUCUGGUACAGCAUUGACUAGAAGUGAUGACAGUGGGAAUUUUCAUCAUUCCUCAGUUCUAGAACUUCCAUUGGAUCUUUUUAAUUUGGGGGCCAAGAUGGCAGAGCAGCAUGGAAAUCCUUGGCUUUUCCCGUCCCUGAAAUACAGCUAGAUCAGCACCAAACCAUCUUACACACCUAGGAAACUGAUCUGAGGAUUGACACAACAAUGUGCAUAACUUGGGCCACAGAACUUGGCAGGUAA